RNAcentral lists this long non-coding RNA (2335 nucleotides) under Pan troglodytes (chimpanzee). RNAcentral describes it as "long non-coding RNA NONPTRT000542". Lineage: Eukaryota; Metazoa; Chordata; Mammalia; Primates; Hominidae. The record is from RNAcentral.
CUUUGUACAAAUUCUGAAUAAUCCCAGGAUAUUUCUUCAGCAGCAAUGUAAUAAUUUCUUCUGUUUCCAUUGUUGCUGCGGAGGUACCAUGCUGCAAUGUUGUCAGGAUCUCUGGAGGAGUUGAUGUUUGUCCUAACAUCAGUUUUGUAGGGGUCAUCAUAGGGCACAUAAUCAAUUUCAGCAUAGUCAUCUUCACUGCUCUGGACCUCUUCCUUUGGAAUAAUCUCAAUGUAAUCUGUACCAUCUUUACUGAGGCCCACUAUAACCAGUGGAUUAAAUUCCUUUGAUAGAAAAGUAUCAUUGAGAGUAGGAGAUGAAGGAGAUGGCAUCUGACCAAGGUCUGGAUAAGGAAAAGACUCAUUAAAUUCUUGAAGAAGCAAUGACUGACUAGAUUCAGAAGGGUAGAAUAUCUGAUCAAGGUCUGGAGGAGGUGAUAUCUGGCUGAGAUCAGGGAGAAGGGUGGUGUCACUGAUGUCUGGAGAGAGAGUCACCUGGCUGAGGUCUGGGGAAAGGGACAUCCGACCAAAGUUUGGGGAAAGAUCUGUCUCACCAAGGUCUGGAGAAAGUGUCAUCUGGUCGAGGUCUGGGGUAAGGGGAAUUUGACUGAGAUCUGCAAACAGGGGCAUCUCACUGAGGUCUGGGGAAAGGUUUGUCUGACUGAGUUCUGGAGAGAGAGUCGUGUGGCUGAGGUCUGGAGAGGGGUUUGUCUGGCUGAGAUCUGGAGAUAGGGUCACCUGGCUGAGGUCUGGAGAGGUGACUGUCUGCCAGACUUCAUGUUCUGAGGAAGGGGACAUUUGACUUAUAUCAGUGGGGAAGGACUUGUGACUUCGGUCAUACUCAAGCAUCUCACUGAGCUCUGGAGAAGAGGAUAUGUGACUGGGGUCUGAAGUAGAGUGCAUUUGAUCAGGGUCUUGAAUGGGGAAUGUUUGAUAGUGUUCCUCUGGGGGCACUGUCUGAUAAAGACCUGGAGGACAGCUUGUCUGACCAGUGUCAUUUGAGGAAUUCUGAUUAUGGUCAGGAAGUGAGGCUAUCCAGCCAAAAUCCAUAGAGGGCAAUGUCUGAUUGAGGUCUGUGGGAAGAGAUGUUUCAUUGGAUUUAUGAAGCAUCAACGAAUGCUUAAGUCUUCUUUCUGAAAAUGUGUUGUAGGCUUCACUUCUUAGAGGGUGAAAGGUCCUCGGAGAUAAAGGAGCAUGGUGUGUGUGCUUCUCUUUUUUCUUUUUUCGUGUCUUAAUGAGAAACUGGCUUUUCUUCAGUCUACUCUUUCCUCCAUCCUGUCUUACUUGUAGAGAUUUAUGUCUAACUCUAGGAAACUUGGGGUGGCCACUCUGCUUUCCAGGCUUGUUGGCAAGAGGGGUGCUUUCUCCCCAAGCACGUGAGGCAUUCUGGGGGCUGAUCAGCCAAUUGUUAACAGCUGUGUCUUCAUCAGUAUCUUGGAUUAUUUCAUAGCUACCUUUCUCAGAAGCCAAAUGCCAUCUCCCAACCAAAAUCUUAGAUGGGUUAUUUUGUUUUAAGAGUAACAGAUCACUAGGAGGGUCCUCCCAGGGCCUCAUUCUGGAAGGAGAACCAGUGUCUUGGCUAGGAAGGUCCUCCCAGGGCUUCAUUCCGGAAGGAGAACCAGUGUCUUGGCUUAGGUGUCUCCCAACUUUAUGUGCUAGUAAUUUCAUCCAGGAGAACCUGUGCUUUGCUGCUUGAUCUCUUUCUACCUUGGGUCCCUUAUGCUUAGCAUGUUCUUGACUUUUGAAUUCUCCAGCAUCAAGUGAAAGUAGACGUAUCCCUGUGACAUCUGGCUGUAGAGGAUCCUCUAUAGGGUCUUCAGAAUAUGGGCUGGAAUGCUCUGCUGUGGAAGAAUUGAGAACUGAGUUCUUGCCAAUGAGGUGUCUCAGUGGGGAACCAGCUGUGGUGGCUUGUUGGUGAGAAGGGGCUUUCUGAGGUUCUGCAAGGUUAUUGACAGUGAACUUACUAAUAUUACUUGGGGAAGAAUAAUUUGAACCAACAAUUAUAUCUGUGUUCGAAGAAACGAAUUCAGUGCCAUUCUCCAGAGCUAGGGCAGUAAGAUUGAACUCUUCUUCUUCCUGAUUCAAUGAUGAGUUUCGGAAUGACCUAAUUCCUAAUGCUGCAGCCAGUCUGUUCUGGUAAUCAUAGUCAGCAUCACUCUCUUCAACUUCAGGUUCUAAACGAUCAUGCAUUUUCCGUGUAGCCAUGACUGUAGAUUCUGGAGGUUCAAAAAUCUCAUAUGAGUCUUCAUCAUCAUCUGGGAUACAUUUAACAUCCCUGAAUUUCAGCCUCAGCUUUUUGCUUCUUGGACUAGAAUUCAUGGAAGUUAACAUCCAAGUUC